UACGUAGGGUGCGAGCGUUAAUCGGAAUUACUGGGCGUAAAGCGUGCGCAGGCGGUUCGUUGUGUCUGAUGUGAAAGCCCCGGGCUCAACCUGGGAAUGGCAUUGGAAACUGGCGAGCUAGAGUGUGGCAGAGGGGGGUGGAAUUCCGCGUGUAGCAGUGAAAUGCGUAGAGAUGCGGAGGAACACCGAUGGCGAAGGCAGCCCCCUGGGCUGACACUGACGCUCAGGCACGAAAGCGUGGGGAGCAAAAGGG
RNAcentral lists this ribosomal RNA (253 nucleotides) under uncultured bacterium. Its description in RNAcentral is "partial 16S ribosomal RNA". It matches the Rfam family "Bacterial small subunit ribosomal RNA", at positions 524 to 776 of the family's 1533-position model. The record is from RNAcentral.